GUGUCUAGACAUUUUGGUAACUUUUUCGAGGUUUUUCGGUAAUAAUUUCAAUUAAAUAUGAAGAAGUAAUUCGUAAUUCGGUUCUAAAAUGAAUACGUAUCGUUUCGUACUCUUUCUUCCGCGUUCGUAAGUCUGGUAGCAUCCUUCAAGUUCCGACUGAUCGCGAGCAGCUCUAGAUACUAUUUGAAAGUUCAAUAUGCUUCGAAGAACAUCCACGAAGAACUCCGGUGUGAAUUUUCCAACGUAAACAGUCUACGAAAAUGAGUUCGAGAUCGUAUUGAUCGUCGUCUGCGGAGAUGGAUUGUGUAAUUAUUCUGGAUUUGUUCCUGUGCGGUUAGAUUGCCCAGAAAGACGCAUCACAGCCAGCAGAUGUCUGAUGUAACAUUUUCCAACUUCGACAGAAGCAGCCAAUUCAUUUUGAUGUCCCCGAAGUCGGUCGGAGCUCGUCAUCGACAUGCGAUGCGGAAAUGAAAUCGAGAAUGAAUGCGCGGCAUGAAGCAGGAGGUGUUAUCUUCAACCAUAUUGAAGUUUCAUAUCAUACUACUCUUUUAUAGCGACGAUGACGCGAGUCUUUGCAUCGAGCAGGU
Planococcus citri (citrus mealybug) is the source of this 587-nucleotide long non-coding RNA. RefSeq lists it as uncharacterized. The transcript is spliced from 6 exons. The record is from RefSeq and is a predicted model, not a curated record. NCBI's taxonomy places the organism in Eukaryota, Metazoa, Arthropoda, Insecta, Hemiptera, Pseudococcidae.